AUUCUGCCCAAGCGGGGAAGGAUGAGAAGCUUCGACCAAGGUUCGACUUGAGCGCCAGCGAGAGAGCGUUGCCGCAG
Molecule: small RNA, 77 nt
Filed under: Escherichia coli
Lineage: Bacteria; Pseudomonadati; Pseudomonadota; Gammaproteobacteria; Enterobacterales; Enterobacteriaceae
Also listed under: 1 other name
Description: partial RtT sRNA
Rfam family: RtT RNA
About the family: This family represents a bacterial cis-regulatory element known as RtT RNA.
Source: RNAcentral